CCUACGGGAGGCAGCAGUGGGGGAUAUUGCACACUGGGGGCAACCCUGAUGCAGCGACGCCGCGUGAGCGAUGGAGUACUUCGGUAUGUAAAGCUCUGUCAGCAGGGAAGAGAAUGACGGUACCUGACCAAGAAGCCCCGGCUAAAUACGUGCCAGCAGCCGCGGUAAUACGUAUGGGGCAAGCGUUAUCCGGAUUUACGGGGUGUAAAGGGAGCGUAGGCGGCAGGGCAAGCCUGAUGUGAAAGCCCGGGGCUCAACCCCGGGACUGCAUUGGGAACUGCCCCGCUCGAGUGCCGGAGGGGCAGGCGGAAUUCCUAGUGUAGCGGUGAAAUGCGUAGAUAUCACGAAGAACUCCGAUUGCGAAGGCAGCUUACUAAACUGCCACUGACAUUGAUGCUCGAAAGUGUGGGUAGCAAACAGGAGUAGAUACCCCAGUAGUC
This 440-nucleotide ribosomal RNA is filed under the name uncultured bacterium. RNAcentral describes it as "partial 16S ribosomal RNA". It matches the Rfam family "Bacterial small subunit ribosomal RNA", at positions 338 to 795 of the family's 1533-position model. The record is from RNAcentral.